RNAcentral lists this microRNA precursor (91 nucleotides) under Canis lupus familiaris (dog). RNAcentral describes it as "mir-8799 microRNA precursor family". It matches the Rfam family "mir-8799 microRNA precursor family". Lineage: Eukaryota; Metazoa; Chordata; Mammalia; Carnivora; Canidae. The record is from Rfam by way of RNAcentral.
GGGGGGAGUGCAGGAUCCUGGGCUGUGUCCCCGGUGCCCUGGGCUCCGGGGCUUGCGCUGCUGGGAUCUCGCUCCCGGGCCGCAGCUUCCG